UGGUUCCUGCUGCCCAGCAUUGGCCAAGGGAACGGGAACAGAGAGGCCUUAACACACCCAUCCCUCCUGGGAGCUGGGGAGAAGCCCACACCACCCAGGAGCCUACAGCUGAGCCCCUACCUCCCCGCCUCGGACCCGCCCCCAGAAGCAACCUGUGGGUCCUGCCUUUCCAUUCUUCCAAACCUUCACUGAGUGCCUGAGGAGUGUGCUCUGCAAAGCCUCUGUGGUCAGGUCAACAAGGCUCAGUGGGGAGCCCACUCUGCCAAGCCCCGCUGGCACAGCCCCAGGGCUCCAGGGGCGACCAAUACUCAGCAGCUGCCUGAGCUCCUCCCGCUGGCCGGGGAGCCUCAGACAGGUCCUGGCAGAAGUCCUCAUGGAGAAGGCUGAGAUGAGACAGAGAGCCCAGGCGUCCCCCAGUCCAUCUGGGCACUCAUUGGUGGCAUCUGCCUUGUAGGGGAGGAACCAGUUCUUUCCAUGGCUCAAACCCCCACCUGACCGGGUCUUGUCCACCGGCCGUGUCCCGGCCUGGCCAACUCGACUGGUCCUCGGAGAAGCCUUCCCGGGCCGCGGCCUCCUGCACUUGCUGUCUGCACAGCCCUAGUCAGAGGUGUGUGACGGUUGGAGGUCUGUAUCCCACCCCCAGCGUCUCCUGAGGGCUCUGCCCACCAGAGGACACGGGGGCUGUCCUGACGUCGCCCCUCUCACCUCCCUAUCGGAACUUGAAAUCCUGGGCACUUGCAUCUGCCAUGAUCCCAGAGGAACUUGGCCCGUUUACUGGUCACCUUAGUUUCAGGUUUGGGGCUGUUCUGUGCAUUAUUCGGUUUACCUGUCAGCAAACCCCCAGGCAGCUCCCAUCCUCCCGGUCCCCGUCCACCAGGCAGCAGGGCGUCCCCUAUCUGCUGUGCCUGUGCUGCUGUCAGACCUCCACAAACCCGCUUGUGCACCAGCGUCCUCAUAAUUAACACUGGAUCCCAUCUGCUGGGAGUCCUUCUGCCAGAGCCUGUGCCUGCCUGUCUCUCAGAACAUCGGAAGUCUUGAACAGCGUCUAACUCCUUUCUUCCCAUUCACGUGAGUGAACGAAAGCUGAAUUCUUCUACACUAAGUAAAAAACAGAAGGAAUUCCUACUUCCCACCUGCAAAUGUAGCUGUAGUGUCACUGCCGUAUUUGACACCAGUCGCACCCGAGCACCAAAAACACACCCGGUGUCCUCAGCUUCCGUGACGGCCUCUGCCCUGGUUCUCCCCACCCCAUGGACAGCAGCACUCCCGGGUGUCUCCUCUGUCCUCAUGCCUUCCAUGGUGACCUGGCCACCAGUGGCUGAAGUCUGACUUGCUCAGUUCCAGAGCAGCAUCUCCAGGCCCUCAGGUACCUCAAGGCCAACGUACCUGUGAGGGCUAACCUGUGCCCUCACCAAAUUCCUGUGUUAAAAUCCAAACUCCCGGUACCUCAGAAUGUGACUUGGACACAGGACCUUUAAAGAAACAAGAUAAAAAAGAUCAUAUGGGUGCAUCCUAGGUGAUUGGUGUCCUUAUAAACGGGAUUGGUGUCCUUAUAAACAGGUGUCCUUAUAAACAAGACCAGAGUCUCCUGGCUCUGGUCCAAGCACCGCAGGCUUCACCAGGACACCUGUACCCUCUCCUGCACCUUCUUGUCAAGGAGACCGUUAAGGCGAGGUUCUCAGUCUCAGCACUACUGAUAUUUCUGGGCGGAGUAAUUCUUCCUUUGGGGGCCUGUCUGGUGCUUUGUAGGGUGCCGAGUGGCUGCCCUGGUCUCCACAUCUUUUCCAGUUUGGAGCCAAAGGGAAGGUAACAGCAGCUGCGAGCUGGUUCCAAUGCUGACUGAACCCGUUCCGCCCACUUGAGCCUGACACCAGGUUGAGAGGCUGGGUUAGGUGCCCACCCCACGCUGACCAUUCUCUUCCAUGGCCUGGGGCACCUGUGUGUGGGGAGGUGGUCUCUCUACUUGGUGGUUUGAACUAACAGAGGAAGCAAGGAGUGCUGUAUGAAUUCACGUGACCUACGGGGAAAGGAAGGGAGGGAAGAAAAGGUCAAGCUGCUGGUUUCUGGGUGAAGAUACCAGCAGAGCAGGCUCGACGUAUGUGCCGAACACAGACACACACAGACCCUUGAAUCCGCACUGGUGAGGCCUCGCUGACGUCCUUCCUUUCCUCCUGGACUUAACUCCACCUCUAACCCCAGCCCUUUGGGUCCUAGAGGAACCAGGAGGCUAAGUAUCCACCAGGAGCAGCUUUGGAGACAAAGAUUCUAAAGGAGAAAGUUAGCAGCCGUAAGAGCCAUAGAGUGGGAGAAAGCGGGUACAGUUAAGGAAGACAUAGGCCAGUGUCAGAGCUGGGCUUUCAAGGAAUUAAGACAGAACGAUGAUAUCAGCUGAGGGCCUUGUCUUCCUGGGACAAGAUGACUGAGGGGAAGAGGAAAAAGGCAGGCUGGAGACCGUCAGCCCUCCACGCCCAGAGCUGCAAUGACAGGGGAAGCCGGGGACCAGACGACGAGAACCACCCCUGGGGACUGGAUGGCACAGGGCCACUGCCCUAUUCAAUGCAGCAGCUCCACGGUGGGGACAAGUCUGUGGUCCAGGCACUGUGCUGACAGGCACCACCUGGGCAUCCCCCUCUCAGCAAACCGCUCCCAGGAUCGAGCAAGCAGGGCUCCCAGGUGUGGGGACAGUUCCCAGUAACAACCAGUGCCCUGGACCCAAAGCCAGGACAUGGCGACGUUUCCAGGCAGCCCCGAGGCUCACUGGUGCUUAAAAAAGCAGACAUAUCCUGAGUUAUGUGCUCAACUUGAACGGCUGAAAAUCAGAGCCGGUGGUCCAGGCCCAUUUGGGCCUGCUCUUGAGGUGGGGCUGGGCGGGCUCUGUCAGGGUCUUGCCAGAGGAGAACCCCACCUCUUAGAGAGCCUGGCACAUGGAAGGUUCGGGCUGUGAUAGGAGGCCAUCCAGUGUCACCCUUAGCCACUGCCGGACACUAGAGUGAAGCUUCCCUUCUCACUGGGGCCCCCUUUGAGAAUGAGAGGUAUAGACCUUCUUGCCUAAAAGGUUCAUAAGGGUUCUUAAAAGUUACUUCAGGGGCCGGACG
Molecule: long non-coding RNA, 3095 nt
Organism: Hipposideros armiger (great roundleaf bat)
Lineage: Eukaryota; Metazoa; Chordata; Mammalia; Chiroptera; Hipposideridae
Exons: 4
Source: RefSeq, a predicted model, not a curated record